UGUGCAAUACAAGUAAUAUCAAAUUGUUGCCUUGAUUCUAUGAUUCUGUGUGCGGCUCAGACAAUCCCCUAUAGCCUAAUAUAAACCAACAGACUGCCUUCAUUUUUACUACAAUAGGUGAAAAAAAAUGAUUAAACAAUUACAGCAGCUAAACAUGGAUGUAAACCUGAGAACCUGACAAAAUUACAUAUUCCAUGCAAGUCUCUAAGCAAAAGGACUGAUCUGCAUGUUACCUUGAUUCCUCCAAAUGAGGGUAAAAUCAGGAAGGUGAAAGUAAUUAUAGGGGCCU
Molecule: unclassified non-coding RNA, 289 nt
Filed under: Hevea brasiliensis (rubber tree)
Lineage: Eukaryota; Viridiplantae; Streptophyta; Magnoliopsida; Malpighiales; Euphorbiaceae
Source: RNAcentral